Molecule: non-coding RNA, 76 nt
Filed under: Anoxynatronum buryatiense
Lineage: Bacteria; Bacillati; Bacillota; Clostridia; Eubacteriales; Clostridiaceae
Description: GEMM cis-regulatory element
Rfam family: c-di-GMP-I riboswitch aptamer
About the family: GEMM was predicted in a large-scale screen for bacterial structured RNA regulatory elements. Genes associated with GEMM are involved in a diverse array of functions, including chemotaxis regulation, signal transduction, secretion and chitin.
Source: RNAcentral
CACCGAUAAAGGCAAACUUCAGGAAACUGGAGGACGCAAAGCUAAAGGGCCUGUAAAAUGGCAGCCAGCUACCGAA